This 1569-nucleotide ribosomal RNA is filed under the name Spirochaeta isovalerica. RNAcentral's name for it is "16S ribosomal RNA". It matches the Rfam family "Bacterial small subunit ribosomal RNA". Lineage: Bacteria; Pseudomonadati; Spirochaetota; Spirochaetia; Spirochaetales; Spirochaetaceae. The record is from RNAcentral.
NNUCGCACUUCGGUGUNNUNNAUNAAUCAUGGAGAGUUUGAUCCUGGCUCAGAACGAACGCUGGCGGCGCGUUUUAAGNAUGCAAGUCGAACGGUAGAGAUCCUUCGGGGUCUUGAGAGUGGCGAACGGGNNAGUAACACGUAGAUGAUCUGCCUUGAAGUUGGGGAUAGCCCAUAGAAAUAUGGGGUAAUACCGGAUAAUCUCUUUUUACUUUGGUGAAUAGAGGAAAGGGGCUUCGGCCUCGCUUURAGAUGAGUCUGCGGCUGAUUAGCUAGUUGGUAGGGUAAAGGCCUACCAAGGCGACGAUCAGUAGCCGGCCUGAGAGGGUGACCGGCCACAUUGGGACUGAGACACGGCCCAAACUCCUACGGGAGGCAGCAGCUAAGAAUCUUCCGCAAUGGGCGCAAGCCUGACGGAGCGACGCCGCGUGGACGAAGAAUGCCGAGAGGUUGUAAAGUCCNUUUAUUUGCGAAGAAUAAURACYGUAGGUAAUGACRGUYAGAUGACGUUAGCUUAUGAAUAAGCUCCGGCCAAUUACGUGCCAGCAGCCGCGGUAACACGUAAGGAGCGAGCGUUGUUCGGAAUUAUUGGGCGUAAAGGGCAUGUAGGCGGUUUUGUAAGUCUGGUGUGAAAUACUACAGCUUAACUGUGGGAACGCACUGGAAACUGUGAGACUAGAAUCAGUGAGGGGUAACCGGAAUUCCUUGUGUAGGGGUGAAAUCUGUUGAUAUAAGGAAGAACACCGAUGGCGAAGGCAGGUUACUGGCGCAUGAUUGACGCUGAUGUGCNNNAGCGUAGGGAGCGAACAGGAUUAGAUACCCUGGUNGUCUACGCUGUAAACGAUGUGCACUUGGUGUUGGGGUUACUAAGCCUCAGUGCCGAAGCUAACGCGUUAAGUGCACCGCCUGGGGAGUAUGCCGGCAACGGUGAAACUCAAAGGAAUUGNNNNNNNNNNNGCACAAGNNNNNNNNNNNNNNGUUUAAUUCGAUGNUACGCGAGAAACCUUACCAGGGUUUGACAUGUUUAUGAUCGUCAUAGAGAUAUGAUUUUNCCUUCGGGGNCAUUUAUACAGGUGCUGCAUGGUUGUCGUCAGCUCGUGCCGUGAGGUGUUGGGUUAAGUCCCGCAACGAGCGCAACCCCUAUUGUCUGUUACCAUCAUUAAGUUGGGGACUCAGGCAAGACUGCCGGUGACAAACCGGAGGAAGGUGGGGACGACGUCAAAUCAUCAUGGCCCUUAUAUCCUGGGCUACACACGUGCUACAAUGGCCGGUACAGAGUGAUGCGAAGCCGCGAGGUGGAGCCAAACGCAAAAAGCCGGUCUCAGUUCGGAUUGGAGUCUGAAACUCGACUCCAUGAAGGUGGAAUCGCUAGUAAUCGCGCAUCAGCAUGGCGCGGUGAAUACGUUCCCGGGCCUUGUACACACCGCCCGUCACACCACCCGAGUUGGGGGUACCCGAAGUCGCUAGUCUAACCUGCAAAAAGAGGACGGCGCCGAAGGUAUGCCUGGNNNNNNNNNNNNNNNNGUAACAAGNNNNNNGUACUGGAAAGNNNNNNNNGAUCACCUCCUUU